This 497-nucleotide ribosomal RNA is filed under the name uncultured bacterium. RNAcentral's name for it is "partial 16S ribosomal RNA". It matches the Rfam family "Bacterial small subunit ribosomal RNA", at positions 28 to 507 of the family's 1533-position model. The record is from RNAcentral.
GAUGAACGCUGGCGGCGUACCUAAUACAUGCAAGUCGAGCGAACAGACGAGGAGCUUGCUCCUCUGACGUUAGCGGCGGACGGGUGAGUAACACGUGGAUAACCUACCUAUAAGACUGGGAUAACUUCGGGAAACCGGCGCUAAUACCGGAGAAUAUAUUGAACCGCAUGGUUCAAUAGUGAAAGACGGUUUUGCUGUCACUUAUAGAUGGAUCCGCGCCGCAUUAGCUAGUUGGUAAGGUAACCGCUUACCAAGGGGACGAUGCGUAGCCGACCUGAGAGGGUGAUCGGCGACACUGGAGCUGAGACACGGUCCAGACUCCUACGGGAGGCAGCAGUAGGGAAUCGGCCGCAGUGGGCGAAAGCCUGACGGAGCAACGCCGCGUGAGUGAUGAAGGUCUUCGGAUCGUAAAACUCUGUUAUUAGGGAAGAACAAAUGUGUAAGUAACUAUGCACGUCGUGACGGUACCUAAUCAGAAAGCCACGGCUAACUACGUG